Triticum urartu is the source of this 116-nucleotide non-coding RNA. The record is from Rfam. Lineage: Eukaryota; Viridiplantae; Streptophyta; Magnoliopsida; Poales; Poaceae.
CUGCUACUCUCUCCGUUCAGAAUUACUUGUCUCAAAAAAUGGAUGUAUCUAGACGUAUUUUAGUUUUAGAUACAUCCAUAUUCAAGACAAGUAAUUCCGAACGGAGGGAGUAUUUC